UACGGAGGGUGCGAGCGUUGUCCGGAAUCACUGGGCGUAAAGGGCGCGUAGGCGGCCUGAUAAGUAGGGGGUGAAAUCCUGUGGCUUAACCGCAGGGCUGCCUUCUAAACUGUCAGGCUCGAGCACAGUAGAGGCAGGUGGAAUUCCCGGUGUAGCGGUGGAAUGCGUAGAGAUCGGGAAGAACAUCAGUGGCGAAGGCGGCCUGCUGGGCUGUUGCUGACGCUGAGGCGCGACAGCGUGGGGAGCAAACAG
RNAcentral lists this ribosomal RNA (252 nucleotides) under uncultured bacterium. RNAcentral's name for it is "partial 16S ribosomal RNA". It matches the Rfam family "Bacterial small subunit ribosomal RNA", at positions 524 to 775 of the family's 1533-position model. The record is from RNAcentral.